Molecule: ribosomal RNA, 480 nt
Filed under: Didymium nigripes
Lineage: Eukaryota; Evosea; Eumycetozoa; Physariida; Didymiaceae
Description: SSU rRNA
Rfam family: Eukaryotic small subunit ribosomal RNA
Source: RNAcentral
UGGCUACCGUAUGAAGACAGCUGAAGACUUUUCUCAAUGAUGUAAGUGGUGGUGCAUGGUCGUUCUUAGUUCGUGGAUUGAUUUGUCUGGUCUAUUCCGAUAACGAGCGAGAUCCUAACGUUCCUAAUAGGGGUCUCAGCCCAGCGACUAGCCAAGCUGACUGCUAGCGGUGAUUCUUUACUUCUUGGACGGAUCAGGGCCGAAAAGGUCCUUGAAAUGGGUUAAUAACAGGUCAGUCAUGCCCUUAGAUGUUCUGGGCCGCACGCGCGUUACAAUGGUAAACAUAGAAAGUGCCUCUUUACGAGCCUUCUGGGGUCUAACGAUGUCAGUAAACAGUAGUCUUUUCCUUGACUGGGCUAGUCUAUUGUAAUUAUUGGUCUUCAACGAGGAAUUUUUAGUAGUCGCAGGUCAUUAACCUGCGACGAAUGCGUCCCUGCCCUUUGUACACACCGCCCGUCGCUGCUACAAUUGGGAAUUUAA